GAGACACCUGUGAUUCCAUGUGGCUGCCUGUGGCUUCAUGUGACAUGCCUAGGGACAUGGCAGCUGAUGUGACUCCUAGCGACUACAAAAUCAGGUCCUAGGGGGCGUCUGAGUCAGCCAGGAUCCGGCCCUUCAGCAUGUGCACUCUCUGGGACAGAAGCCCUGGACCCCCGCUGCCAUUUGAGCCUGCCUAGCCAUAAAACCCCGGAGGCCGAUCGUGCGGAGAGAUUGCCCUGUCACUUCUGGAGAAGAUGCAGACCCAGGAGAUCCUGAGGAUCCUGCGGCUGCCCGAGCUAUCGGACUUGGGCCAGUUUUUCCGCAGCCUCUCAGCCACCACCCUUGUGAGUAUGGGUGCACUGGCUGCCAUCCUUGCAUACUGGCUCACUCACCGGCCAAAGGCCUUGCAACCACCAUGCAACCUCCUGAUGCAGUCGGAAGAAGUAGAGGACAGUGGUGGAGCCCGGCGAUCUGUGAUUGGGG
RNAcentral lists this long non-coding RNA (480 nucleotides) under Rattus norvegicus (Norway rat). RNAcentral's name for it is "long non-coding RNA NONRATT004269". The record is from RNAcentral. Lineage: Eukaryota; Metazoa; Chordata; Mammalia; Rodentia; Muridae.